This is a long non-coding RNA of Cyprinus carpio (common carp), 316 nucleotides long. RefSeq lists it as uncharacterized. NCBI's taxonomy places the organism in Eukaryota, Metazoa, Chordata, Actinopteri, Cypriniformes, Cyprinidae. The transcript has 3 exons. The record is from RefSeq and is a predicted model, not a curated record.
GAAGUGUUUAAACUAGUUGAGCGUUUGGGAGGUCAAGGUCUGAUUUGUAAAUGUAAUACAUGGUCUGAUCAAAACAUGAAAAUUUUUGGUAUUAAAUAAGUUCUGGCUCAGAUAGAGUGUUGAAGUGCAGCAAGAAAAGAGAUCAAAUUUGUGGAACAUCACCAGGGCUCCAUGCUGAAAAUGCCACAGGACCAAGGAUAGAGCCUUGUGGGACACCGUCUGGACCUGUCUGAGCACUGUCACGGCUGUUUGCUAGCUCCCUGCAGGCAUGUUGAUGCUUGGUGCUAGACAAGACAACGUUUUCACUGGAGGAAGA